Molecule: ribosomal RNA, 1590 nt
Filed under: Septobasidium taxodii
Lineage: Eukaryota; Fungi; Basidiomycota; Pucciniomycetes; Septobasidiales; Septobasidiaceae
Description: eukaryotic LSU rRNA
Rfam family: Eukaryotic large subunit ribosomal RNA
Source: RNAcentral
UAAGCAUAUCAAUAAGCGGAGGAAAAGAAACUAACAAGGAUUCCCCCAGUAACGGCGAGUGAAGAGGGAACAGCCCAAAUUUGUAAUCUGGCCCUUUCAGGGUCCGAGUUGUAAUCUCGAGAACUGUUUUCCGUGCUGGACCGCGUACAAGUCUGUUGGAAUAUAGCUUCAUAGAGGGUGAGAAUCCCGUACAUGACGCGGACUACCAGUACACUGUGAUACAGUCUCUAAGAGUCGAGUUGUUUGGGAAUGCAGCUCAAAAUGGGUGGUAAAUUCCAUCUAAGGCUAAAUAUUGGCGAGAGACCGAUAGCGAACAAGUACCGUGAGGGAAAGAUGAAAAGCACUUUGGAAAGAGAGUUAACAGUACGUGAAAUUGUUGAAAGGGAAACGCUUGAAGUCAGUCUUGUACUUUGUUGUUCAGCCCUCGGGUGUAUUCAACUUUGAACAGGCCAGCAUCAGUUUUAGAUGUCGGAUAAGGGUAGAGGAAACGUAGCAGUCUCGGCUGUGUUAUAGUCCUUUACUUGAUACGACGUCCGGGACUGAGGAACGCAGUGAGCCUUUUGGCGGGUCUUCGGACCUUCUCACUAUGGAUGCUGGCGUAAUGGCUUUAAACGACCCGUCUUGAAACACGGACCAAGGAGUCUAACAUGCUUGCGAGUGUUUGGGUGUCAAACCCGGGCGCGUAAUGAAAGUGAAUGUAGGUGGGAAUCGUAAGAUGCACCAUCGACCGGUCCGGAUUUUUAAUGAUGGAUCUGAGUAAGAGCAAGUAUGUUGGGACCCGAAAGAUGGUGAACUAUGCCUGAAUAGGGCGAAGCCAGAGGAAACUCUGGUGGAGGCUCGUAGCGGUUCUGACGUAGAUCGAAUGUGCGUCAAAUAGGAAGGUGGUAACAUCCUCCUAGUAGUGCCUCAACGGUACUGCAACACUUUCAAAUUGCGGGAAAGUCCUAAAGCCCCUCACUACCAAGCGCUGGUCGAAAGACUUGUGUGGCCGAGCUAGCAGCCCUGGAAAUGGUAACAAAGUGAGGCGGAUAGCACAAUGGAUCAUCCGCAGCGAACUCCUAAAACUAUGAAAGUCAAGGAGAGCGUUCAGAGACUAAAUGUUAGUGGGUCACUCUGUGGCUUAAGAUAUAGUCCAACAAUCAUCGAAAGGUGUAUUGGUGAAUGGCAAAUCGAUCGUCGAAUUUGGGUAUAGGGGCGAAAGACUAAUCGAACCAUUUGUGGAGAAUAGCUACUGGUGGUUAAGAAGCCUGAAAAAGGCUUAGUGACUUUGAGGGUCGCUACACUGUCAAAUUGCGGGGACUUUCUUAGAGCCUUUACUACCGCCUUGCCUGGAGAAAUCCGGCGUGGCACCAGAGGGUAAUGCCUUUGGGUAUGGUAACAAUGUAAAGGAUUGGAUAAUCCGCAGCCAAGUCCUUCGAUGGAUGCAGUUCACAGACUAAAUGAUGGUGGGUGCAAUCAUGCACUUAAGAUAUAGUCGGUCCUACUGCGAAAGCAGUCCAAUAGAAUAAUCCUUACAUACCCUCAAUCUCGUUUGUAAGGUGAAGCUCUUGGGAGUUGACGUCCAACUCGGGGUAAAACGCUAGAGCGUCC